GCACCACUGACGAGUCCCAAACAGGACGAAACAGCUGUCCAGUGC
Molecule: non-coding RNA, 45 nt
Organism: Echinostoma caproni
Lineage: Eukaryota; Metazoa; Platyhelminthes; Trematoda; Plagiorchiida; Echinostomatidae
Source: Rfam